GUGUCUCCCAAUGAAUGUUUCCCCAGACCGGCCCUGUAGCAGUAACAAGGACAUUUUUUGUUCCGAUAAGGAAACUAAGGCACAGAGGCUGUGACUUGCCCAAAGCCGCGCAGCAAGUCAGUGGCAGAGAGCUAUUUUGGAGGUCUCAGUGUCAGAGCUGAACAGCAGGCCUGCUGCUAAUCAGUUCUACAGUAAUCACUAACUCAGGUAAAAAAACUACCAGAUUUUGAAGGACGCCCCCUAGUAUUAUUCAGCACCCAGUUUGUAAUUAAAGUAUUAAUACAAUUCUGCCUCUUUGUGUAAAUACUUUCAAUCACUCCUGAAACAAUGCAUACCCAGUAAUCAGUCAUCACCUUACUAAACCACCUCCUUCUCAAACAUUGUGUUGUAUCCCUAAAGGAAUUAUAAAGCAAAGGAGGUUACUGGAUAGGUGGUCUAGAGUAAAUGAUCUAGGAACUGAUAGGCUAUCAUGUCUAACUUUUUAGUUAACUGAGAAUACAUUUUGGGUGGGGAUGGAUGAGAAGUGCACGUACAAUGGAGAGUGCAGUCUUCUGCCCAUCUGUGGUAUACUAAAUACAAACAAUUACAUGUGAAAAUGUUACUUUUCUUGUCCUGUUAAUUUUGUCUUCUUUUGUCUCUUUGAAAAAUUAAAAAG
Molecule: non-coding RNA, 655 nt
Organism: Caretta caretta (loggerhead turtle)
Lineage: Eukaryota; Metazoa; Chordata; Testudines; Cheloniidae
Source: RefSeq, a predicted model, not a curated record